RNAcentral lists this ribosomal RNA (425 nucleotides) under uncultured bacterium. RNAcentral's name for it is "bacterial SSU rRNA". It matches the Rfam family "Bacterial small subunit ribosomal RNA", at positions 354 to 796 of the family's 1533-position model. The record is from RNAcentral.
GUUAGGAAUAUUGGACAAUGGGCGAAAGCCUGAUCCAGCCAUGCCGCGUGAACGAUGAAGGCCUUCGGGUUGUAAAGUUCUUUAGCCGAUGAUUAUAAUGACUGUAGUCGGAAAAUAAGCCCCGGCUAACUUCGUGCCAGCAGCCGCGGUAAUAUGAAGGGGGCGAGCGUUAUUCGGAAUCACUGGGCGUAAAGCGUGCGUAGGCGGUUUUGUAAGUUAGGAGUGAAAGCCCAGGGCUCAACCUUGGAAUUGCUCUUAAAACUGCAAGGCUCGAAUCUCGGAGAGGAUAGCGGAAUUUCCAGUGUAGCAGUGAAAUGCGUAGAUAUUGGAAGGAACACCAGUGGCGUAAGCGGCUAUCUGGACGAGUAUUGACGCUGAGGCACGAAAGCGUGGGGAUCAAACAGGAUUAGAAACCCGAGUAGUCC